UCCCUUGUGGCUUACUCGGUAAAGCAUCUGCCUGCAGAGGAGGAGACCCAGGUUCGAUCCCUGGGUGGGUAA
RNAcentral lists this transfer RNA (72 nucleotides) under Ovis aries (sheep). It matches the Rfam family "tRNA". From Rfam's summary of the family: Transfer RNA (tRNA) molecules are approximately 80 nucleotides in length. Their secondary structure includes four short double-helical elements and three loops (D, anti-codon, and T loops). The record is from Rfam by way of RNAcentral. Lineage: Eukaryota; Metazoa; Chordata; Mammalia; Artiodactyla; Bovidae.